Molecule: ribosomal RNA, 468 nt
Filed under: uncultured bacterium
Lineage: Bacteria
Description: partial 16S ribosomal RNA
Rfam family: Bacterial small subunit ribosomal RNA
Source: RNAcentral
AACGAACGCUGGCGGCAUGCUUAACACAUGCAAGUCGAACGGAAAGGCCCUGCUUUUGUGCGGUGCUCGAGUUGCGAACUGGUGAUUAACACUUGAGUAACCUGCCCUUGACUUUGGGAUAGCUUCAUGAAACUGAGGCUAAUACCGGAUAGGAGCUCCUGCUGCAUGGUGGGGGUUGGAAAGUUUCGGCGGUUGGUGAUGGACUCGCGUCUUAUCAGAUUGUUGGUGGGGUAGUGGCUUACCAAGGCUUUGCCGGGUAGCAGGCCUGAGAGGGUGACAGGCCACAUUGGGACUGAGAUACGGCCCAGACUCCUACGGGAGGCAGCAGUGGGGAAUAGUGCACAAGGGGCGGAAGCCUGAUGCAGCAACGCCGCGUGCGGGAUGACGGCCUUCGGGUUGUAAACCGCUGUCGCCUGUGACGAAGAGUGAGUGACGGUAAUGGGUAAAGAAGCACCGGCUAACUACGUG